RNAcentral lists this ribosomal RNA (253 nucleotides) under uncultured bacterium. Its description in RNAcentral is "partial 16S ribosomal RNA". It matches the Rfam family "Bacterial small subunit ribosomal RNA", at positions 524 to 776 of the family's 1533-position model. The record is from RNAcentral.
UACGAAGGGGGCUAGCGUUGCUCGGAAUUACUGGGCGUAAAGGGCGCGUAGGCGGACAGUUUAGUCAGAGGUGAAAGCCCAGGGCUCAACCUUGGAAUUGCCUUUGAUACUGGCUGUCCUGAGUGCGGGAGAGGUGUGUGGAACUCCGAGUGUAGAGGUGAAAUUCGUAGAUAUUCGGAAGAACACCAGUGGCGAAGGCGACACACUGGCCCGUAACUGACGCUGAGGCGCGAAAGCGUGGGGAGCAAACAGG